GGAGAGGUGGCCGAGUGGUCGAAGGCACACCCUUGCUAAGGGUGCGAAGGGGAAACUCUUCCGAGGGUUCGAAUCCCUCCCUCUCCG
RNAcentral lists this transfer RNA (87 nucleotides) under Polyangiaceae bacterium. RNAcentral describes it as "tRNA-Ser". It matches the Rfam family "tRNA". Rfam says of the family: Transfer RNA (tRNA) molecules are approximately 80 nucleotides in length. Their secondary structure includes four short double-helical elements and three loops (D, anti-codon, and T loops). Lineage: Bacteria; Pseudomonadati; Myxococcota; Polyangiales; Polyangiaceae. The record is from RNAcentral.